This 110-nucleotide transfer RNA is filed under the name Colletotrichum orbiculare MAFF 240422. RNAcentral describes it as "tRNA-Asn for anticodon GUU". It matches the Rfam family "tRNA". Rfam says of the family: Transfer RNA (tRNA) molecules are approximately 80 nucleotides in length. Their secondary structure includes four short double-helical elements and three loops (D, anti-codon, and T loops). Further hydrogen bonds mediate the characteristic L-shaped molecular structure. tRNAs have two regions of fundamental functional importance: the anti-codon, which is responsible for specific mRNA codon recognition, and the 3' end, to which the tRNAs corresponding amino acid is attached (by aminoacyl-tRNA synthetases). tRNAs cope with the degeneracy of the genetic code in two manners: having more than one tRNA (with a specific anti-codon) for a particular amino acid; and 'wobble' base-pairing, i.e. permitting non-standard base-pairing at the 3rd anti-codon position. Lineage: Eukaryota; Fungi; Ascomycota; Sordariomycetes; Glomerellales; Glomerellaceae. The record is from Rfam by way of RNAcentral.
UCCCCGAUGGCACAAUUGGCUAGCGCGUCAGACUGUUACGAUCGGAAUCGGUUGAAAUGUCAAUCGAGAUGGUCAUCUGGAGGUUGGUGGUUCGAGCCCACCUCGGGGAG